This 91-nucleotide small nuclear RNA is filed under the name Sapajus apella (tufted capuchin). The record is from RNAcentral. Lineage: Eukaryota; Metazoa; Chordata; Mammalia; Primates; Cebidae. RNAcentral also lists the same sequence under 1 other name.
GUGCUGCCUUCCAGCACUUAUACUAAAAUUGGAACCAUGUAGAGAAGGUUAGCAUGGCCCCUGGGCAAGGAUGACAUGCAAAUUUGUUUUU